This 282-nucleotide unclassified non-coding RNA is filed under the name Hevea brasiliensis (rubber tree). The record is from RNAcentral. Lineage: Eukaryota; Viridiplantae; Streptophyta; Magnoliopsida; Malpighiales; Euphorbiaceae.
GUAGGAGAAAAAAGGUAGGUUAAUUAUUAGCAGAUUAUUACUAGCUAGUAGGUGAUUUAGGUGAUUCCUUGUUUGUACAGGUUGUAAGGAGGGGGAAAAAGAUGGUAUGUCGUUUUCUCUUGUGGGGAAGACAUAUUGGAUUCUUGUUUAUUUUGUCUGCUUGCUUUUUGCGGUGAAGGGAUAGGGGGCCCAGCACUCUUAGCAUUCAAUAUGGUCUUCUUCUGCUACCAGUAAUGGUAGGCUAGCUGAUGUUGUUUUAGGACUUCGAACAGGGGAACAAAA